GGGGAAUUUUCCGCAAUGGGCGAAAGCCUGACGGAGCAAUACCGCGUGAGGGAGGAAGGCUCUUGGGUUGUAAACCUCUUUUCUCAGGGAAGAACACAAUGACGGUACCUGAGGAAUCAGCAUCGGCUAACUCCGUGCCAGCAGCCGCGGUAAUACGGAGGAUGCAAGCGUUAUCCGGAAUGAUUGGGCGUAAAGCGUCCGCAGGUGGCGAUGUAAGUCUGCUGUUAAAGAGUGAGGCUCAACCUCAUAAGAGCAGUGGAAACUACAUAGCUAGAGUGCGGUAGGGGCAGAGGGAAUUCCUGGUGUAGCGGUGAAAUGCGUAGAGAUCAGGAAGAACACCGGUGGCGAAAGCGCUCUGCUAGGCCGCAACUGACACUGAGGGACGAAAGCUAGGGGAGCGAAUGGGAUUAGAUACCCCAGUAGUCCUAGCCGUAAACGAUGGAUACUAGGCGUGGCUUGUAUCGACCCGAGCCGUGCCGUAGCUAACGCGUUAAGUAUCCCGCCUGGGGAGUACGCACGCAAGUGUGAAACUCAAAGGAAUUGACGGGGGCCCGCACAAGCGGUGGAGUAUGUGGUUUAAUUCGAUGCAACGCGAAGAACCUUACCAAGACUUGACAUGUCGCGAAUUGAGGUGAAAGCUUCAAGUGCCUUCGGGAGCGCGAACACAGGUGGUGCAUGGCUGUCGUCAGCUCGUGUCGUGAGAUGUUGGGUUAAGUCCCGCAACGAGCGCAACCCUCGUUUUUAGUUGCCAGCAUUAAGUUGGGCACUCUAGAGAGACUGCCGGUGACAAACCGGAGGAAGGUGGGGAUGACGUCAAGUCAGCAUGCCCCUUACGUCUUGGGCUACACACGUACUACAAUGCUACGGACAGAGGGCAGCAAGCUAGCGAUAGCAAGCAAAUCCCGUAAACCGUAGCUCAGUUCAGAUCGCAGGCUGCAACUCGCCUGCGUGAAGUCGGAAUCGCUAGUAAUUGCAGGUCAGCAUACUGCAGUGAAUUCGUUCCCGGGCCUUGUACACACCGCCCGUCACACCAUGGAAGCUGGCAACGCCCGAAGUCAUUACUCCAACUGUUCGCAGGGGAGGAUGCCUAAGGCAGUGCUGGUGACUGGGGUGAAGUCGUAACAAGGUAGCCGUACCGGAAGGUGUGGCUGGAUCACCUCCUUUUUAGGGAGACCUACCCAAGUUUGAGAUCGAAAGCGCAUAGUGAAUAGAUACAAACAUUGGUCUACUCUAGGUCGGUCGCAGAACUUGAGGUGUGCUUUCAAACUAUAUUGGUUCGAUUUGGGCUAUUAGCUCAGGUGGUUAGAGCGCACCCCUGAUAAGGGUGAGGUCCCUGGUUCGAGUCCAGGAUGGCCCACCUGAAGGUAAUUAGUAAUUACUAAUUCGUAGUUCGUAAAUAAUUACGAAUUACGCAUUACGAGUUACAAAUUAUCAUCUGGGGGUUUAGCUCAGUUGGUAGAGCGCCUGCUUUGCAAGCAGGAUGUCAGCGGUUCGAGUCCGCUAACCUCCACCUGUAGCGUCAGCUAAGAGAAAAUGGGGAUAAGAUUCAGCAACAUGACAAGCGAUAGUAGAUGUCAGACUGCUGGGUGAAUCUCAGCCAGAACCUUGAAAACUGCAUAGUAACGCGUAAAUUAGCAGGCAGACACAGACAUUCAAGUAAUGAUUGUGUAUGCAUAGUGAACAGCAAUUGUUUAUUGUGGUCAAGCUAAUAAGGGCUGACGGUGGAUACCUAGGCACACAGAGA
RNAcentral lists this unclassified non-coding RNA (1744 nucleotides) under Ahomia kamrupensis ASM11-PS. Its description in RNAcentral is "bacterial SSU rRNA". The stretch from base 1 to 1164 matches the Rfam family "Bacterial small subunit ribosomal RNA", at positions 356 to 1533 of the family's 1533-position model. The record is from RNAcentral. Lineage: Bacteria; Bacillati; Cyanobacteriota; Cyanophyceae; Nostocales; Nostocaceae.